AAAGAGCUUGCACGGUAAGGCUGACCCUAAUGCUUUACUUGGAGCCUUUCUGUCACCAAGGGAACAAACCUGCUCUAGCUAGUUGGAUGAUGGGAAAUAUGUGCUUCAGUCUCUGCAAGGCCCCAGUAAACAGCCAACACUGCCAGAGGCACCUAGUAAAGUCCCUGCAGCUGGCCACAGGUACAUAGACAAGCCCUAUGAAGAUCAGCAAAAUUGCCCAACUGAGCCCAACCAAAUUGGACGUCAGUGGAUAAUAGGCAUCAGCAUUACUUGGAGCUUAUUGGGAAUAUGGAAGUUGGGUCCCACCCUAAAGCUAGACGCCCGACUGAGAGUUUCAACUGGAUCCCCAGUGAAUCCCACCAGCCCCCCUAGAUGUGAUGCCUCAACCUUGGACCUGCCAGCCUCCAGAACCAUAAACCAAAACAAACCUCUUUCCUUUAUACAGCACCCGGUCCCAGGUAUUCUAUUUUAGUAACAAAACAUGGACUAAGCCAAUAACAAAGAACAUGUUUGAAAGUUUAUAAGCAAGAAGAGCAACAACAACAACAAAAAUAAAAGUGCUUGCUAGAGAGAACAUCUUCCUUG
RNAcentral lists this long non-coding RNA (585 nucleotides) under Heterocephalus glaber (naked mole-rat). RNAcentral's name for it is "lncRNA (ENSHGLG00000047335.1)". The record is from RNAcentral. Lineage: Eukaryota; Metazoa; Chordata; Mammalia; Rodentia; Bathyergidae.